Molecule: long non-coding RNA, 5237 nt
Filed under: Marmota monax (woodchuck)
Lineage: Eukaryota; Metazoa; Chordata; Mammalia; Rodentia; Sciuridae
Source: RNAcentral
GGGGAAGACUGAUUUGUGUGUGUGUGUGUGUGUGUGUGUGUGUAUGGUACUGGGGAUUGAACCUAGGGGUGCUUUACUUCUGAGUGACAUCCCCAGACUUUUAUUUUUUAUUUUGAGACAGGGCUGCACUAAUUGACUGAGGGUCUCCCUAAGUUGCUGAGACUCAAACUUAUGAUCCUCCUGCUUCAGCCUCCCGAGUCACUGGAAUAACAGGUAUGCACCAUCACACCAGGUUGGGAACAUUCUGAUUUUUCCAGAUAAAGCCAGCAUCAGGGCAGUGUGAGAAGUGCUUCACCAAGUGCUGUGGAAGCACCAUGCAGGGAGGGGAAGGCCGACAGGCUGCAGGCUGGGGGAGCCUUCUAGACCAAGCCAAGUGCAAAGGGAAAGAGGGCAUCAGGCAAGUGGAGAGUACAGAGUAGAGACAGUAACAGGGAAAAUACUGUUCACAAGGGCUUGGGAAGUGUUGGUGGCUGUGCUGUGCACCUCAUCCUCAUUCAUAUGUUAAAGUCCCAGCCUCCAGUACCUCAUAAUAUGACUGGGGAGAUUAGAUCUUUAAAGGUGUGAUUUAGUUAUGUUGAGGUCCUUAGGGUAGACCCUCGUAUUAGUCAGCUUCCCAUCACUGUGACAAUGUACCUGAGAAAAACAACUUGAAGAAAGGUUUAUUUUGGUUCAUGUUUUCAGAGGUUUCAGUCCAUGGUCACUUGACCCCAUCAUUAGAAUCCAAUGGUGCAACAGAAUAUCAUGGUGUGAAUACAUGGCAGAGAAGAGCUGCUCAUCUCAUGGGAACUAGGAAGGAGAGAGAGGGCUGUGGUCACAGAAUACUCAUCAGGAGAACACUCGUGUGACUGAUUUCCUCCAACUAGGCCCCACCUGCUAAAAUUUCUACUGCCUCCCAACAGUGCCACAAGUUGGGGACCAAGCCCUCACCACAUGAGACUUUGGGGGAUAUUCCAGAUAUGGACCAUAAAGUGGAUGGUGUCCUGAUAAGAAAAGGGAAUACAGACACACAAAGAGGGAAGGUCCUGUGAUGAUAGGGAGAAUACCAUCAUCGAUAGGCCAAGAAGAGAGGCCUUAGAAGAAACCAAGCCUGCUGACACCUUGAUCUUGGACAUCCAGCCUCCAGAACUGUAGGAAAAUAGAUGUCUGUUGUUUAAAUCACCUUGCAAACUAAUAUGGGGAGAAAAAGCUUGAGACUUUUGGGAAACCAAAAGUAGUAUUGAGAAUCCUGUUAUGUGGUGCCAAUCUUAAUUCUAUCCAAAAUUCUAGGUAGCAUUAAGUGAUUCAUCAAUAAAAUUACUUAGUACAGCUAUAUGUAGUGGCUUGCGUCUUUAUUUCCAACCAUUCAUGAGGCUGAGGAAGGAAGAUCACAAAUUCAAUGCUGGUCUUGGAAGCUUAUGAGACCUUGUCAUAAAAUAAAAUAGAAGAAAUUGGUUUAAGACAGCAGUAGGAAGACCAUAGCCCAAGGGCCAACUGCAUUUUUUUUGUAUGAUCCAUAAGAAUUAGUUUUUUUAAAAAAAAAUGGUUCUAAAAACUCGAAAGAAGAAUGAUAUUUUGUGACACUUAAGAAUGAUGUGAAUUUAUGACUUGAAAAUCUGAGACAGGAGGAUGGUAUGUUCAAGAACAUCCUGGAUAACUUAGCAAGACCCUCACUCAAAAUAAAAUUUUAGAAAAGCCCAGUUCAGUGGUUGAAAAUUUGCCUAGCAUGGGCAAGGCCCUGGGUUCAAUUGCCAGUACUAAAAAGAAAAUUACUUGGUACAUAGUGAAACUUUAGUUUUCACCCCAAGUUCUGUGAAUUCUCUGAGUUCCCACAGUCAUCUUGUUUGUUCCUUUAUUAUAAAAUAUAAGUCCUGUGUCUUUCAACAGCUAAUCCAUUUCUCCACCAUAACCUAUGAGUCCCUCAAAAAUAGGGCUGUGGUGGCAUUUCUUUGUAUGUCUGGCACUUAGUGGAUUACGAUACUAGGUCUGUCACCUAGUAGACACAUAAACCAAUGUUUGUGGAACAAGGAAUUUAAUAAGUGAAUAAACAAAUAGGGGAAAGCUACUUCAAGCAAAAAUAUAACUUGUAGACAGUGUUUUCCCUUGGGGAUUUAGGCUAUCUAGCUAGAAUUACUUAGUGCUCUUGAAGACAACUUUGCAGUGGCAGCUUGGUACCAGAGCUGACCUACUCAAAAGCCAUUGCACACUGGCCCAGCCAUGGGUACGAGAGUCUCUGCUCUAGUGAGGUUUUGGAGUGAAAGUGCCCUAGUGUCCACUGCCCCAGGAAAUGUUCUAGGGCCUCUUUCCCAGACACUAGACUCUUGGUGAAUACUGGAAAGAGAGAUGCUAACUGAAAUGAAAGGCUUUCUGUCUCAGACACAUUUGUCACCAAAAGAAUACGUCUUUCUUCAUAUAAACUGCUAUCUCCUCAGGAGCUACCUGCUUGCUAUAUAAACUGUACAGAGGGUGGCAAAUGUUUUUUGUAAAGGCAGGCAAUGAUUUGACUGUGUCCCCCAAAGUGUGCAAGUUGGAAACUUCAUACCCAUUAAAACAAUGCUAGGAAGUAGGGCGCAAAGAGAGGUGCUUGGUCCAGCCUCAUGAAUGGAUUAUGAUUUUUUAUUAUUAAAGGGCUUGAGGCUUGUGAGUUGAAUCUUUCUCUCUCUCUCCCUCCCUCCUUCCCUCUCUCUCUCUCUCUCUGCCCUUUUGCCAUGGCAUGAUGCAGCAAGACAGCCUUUGCCAGAUAUGGCCCCUCAGUCUUGGACUUCCCAGCCUCCAAAACCAUGAGCCAAUAAAUUCCUAUUCAUUAUCAAUUACCCAGUCUUGGGUAUUCUGUUAUAGCAGCACUAAAAUACUGAGACAGUAUAGUAAGCACUUUGGACUUUAUGGGCUAUAAAAGACCAAGACAGUAUGAUACAUAUUUUAAACUUUGGGCAGCUACAAUUUAACUUUGCCAUUGAAAGCUGAGGGUAUAGUUCAGUGGUAGAGUACAUGCCUAGCAUGUACGAGGCCAUGGCUGUGUUCCAAUAAAACUCUGGACAAUUAAAUUUCAUGCAAUUUCUUUCUUUCCUUUCUUUUCUUUUUUUUUUUUUUUUUUUUUUUUUGUUGUUGUUGUUGUUUUUUGUGGUGCUGGCGAUUGAACUCAGGACCUGGAACAUGCUAGGCAAGGGCUCUACCACUGAGCUACAUCUCAAGCUCUUUUUAAAAUUUUACUUUGACACAGAGUCUCACUGAGUCACCCAGGCUGGCUUACAACUUGCAAUCCUCUUGCUUUGGCUUCUUGAAUAGUAAAUUUCAUGAGUCACAAAAUAUCAUCUUGUUCUUGGGUUUUUAAAUAGUCUUUUAAAUCAUCCUUAGCUUGUGGGCCAUACAAAAAGAAAUGGCAGGUCAAAUUUAGCCUUUGGGCUAUAUAGUCUACCUACCCCUGCCCUAAACCAAUAUCUUCCCCUCGGCUUUGUUUGUUUCUCUCCCUUUUUAUUCUUUUCAUUCCAGUCAAACUAUGAUAUUCAAAUGUGAAUAUUUCUAGGAAACAAUGGACUCUCCACAGUCCUUUGCAGCUCAGUGUGAAUGAAUAAAAAUCAGGCUUUUGCUCAGAGACUGGGAGGAAAUAAGACUAAAGAUAAUCUUAAAGUAAAUAAGAAGUACAAAAGUAUUACAAAAGUAAAUAAGAAGACAAGGCCAAGUGUAACCCAGCAAAACCUUGCCCACAGACUACAAAAUAGAUUUGCACUUUACUUGUUACUCAGCUCAAGUUGAUUUUUCAUUGAAACAGAAUGAACUUGUUUCUCCCAUAAUACAUUUUAUCAUUUCAGAUAACAUGGGGAAGAUGUUGGUGCUUUCUUGGGCCACACGUUGCUGUACAGGCAACUUCCUGACCUCAAAUUCAACCCUGCGAGGGCUUGGUCUGAGCUUGGUGUGAAGAAAAGAGGACUCACAGCCGAUAUGAUCUGGUGUCGUGCCAGUCUGCACAGAAUUAGAAGAUGGAUUAUUGUGGAUUUGUUUUCCUUUAGGAAUUAGGGCUGGCACUGGCUUAGCUUCAGUACAGCAGAGGUAUUAACUGAAAUGUAUUUCUGUCUUAACAGCCACAUCCCUUUUAGCCUUGGUGACUUUGGAGUGACUUCUAAAGCAAUCUCAUCAGAAUGAAUCGGCAGAUUAAGGUGAAAUUCAUGUCAGAACAGUAGGCAAGAGGAGAUGAAAUGCCCUACACCUGGCUGCCCACUGCAAAAGGUGAAGUUGAACAUGUGAGAUGGGCCGAAAAAUGCUGGGUGAACUUUCAAGUGGAUUUCCUUCAGUCAACUCACAAGAAGAUUCAAAGCAGCAUAAAGAACUCAAGAUGAGGUAGCCGCACAGCCCAUGUACUGGCCAUGUGUCGCAUUUGAGUGCUCUCUGGAUUCAUCAGCAAGUCUGAUUUGAAGUCUUCUCUCUUUUUCUCUUCACCUGUUUAGUGAAUUCACUAUGCUUGAUGGGAGUGAAUCUGAACCUAGGCACUGAGGAUUUGAUUUCCUACAGGAAUUAGGGCUCGUUUUAGAUGGCCUCCCCUUCAUUUGUGAAGUCACUUAACUCUGGAAGCCUCAGCUUCCUCAUCUGCAAAAUGGGGCUUAGAGUCCAUAUCCCAGGCUUGCUAUAAGGAUUCCGGGAGAUAAUAUGUGAGGUUGCUUUAUCAACUCUGCAAAUAAUAGCUUUCAGUUUAACCAUCCUCCAUGUCCAUGGACCCAAACAGAAGUUCGUCUUGUUCCCCUGACUGAAAAUUGGGAAGCAAACAGUUGAGUUUGUUAUCCAGGGAAGGAUGCUCUCUGGUCAUCUUCUUGCCUCUUGCCUUUGUCAAUAAACACUUAUUAAAGGGGUGUAUACACUGUAAUAGAAGACAUAUGAUUUACAAAAACAUGAAUUUCUUGAUGGGCUAGGACUGAAAAUAUUUUUUUGAUGCAAUUCAAUGUGUUGUUAAUCUUUCUCUGCCCCAUCCCUGCCACACCAGGUAUGUGCACAUCAUUUGUCCUGUAGUUCAAACACAGAAAAUUUUUAACACACCGUAUCAGCCUUACAAAUAAAUAAGUAGAUAGUUCCCAUGCUCUGUAGCAUAGGAUGACCACCAAGGUUUUUCUGCUGUAAAAUAACUCUUGCUAAUUUGGGAUAUAUACCUCAAAUCCCAUCAUGUGGAGUCAUUCAUUUAAACCACAGAAUUAUGCAUUUUAAAAAACAGGCCUGGCAUGGCAACACACCUGUGAUAUCAGCUGCUUGGGAGGCUGAGGCAGGGGGAUCACAAG